Molecule: transfer RNA, 76 nt
Filed under: Acidobacteriaceae bacterium
Lineage: Bacteria; Pseudomonadati; Acidobacteriota; Terriglobia; Terriglobales; Acidobacteriaceae
Description: tRNA-Thr
Rfam family: tRNA
About the family: Transfer RNA (tRNA) molecules are approximately 80 nucleotides in length. Their secondary structure includes four short double-helical elements and three loops (D, anti-codon, and T loops).
Source: RNAcentral
GCCGGGUUAGCUCAGCUGGCAGAGCGCUAGAUUUGUAAUCUUGAGGUCGCGAGUUCGAUUCUCGCACCCGGCUCCA